UACGGGGGGGGCAAGCGUUGUUCGGAAUUACUGGGCGUAAAGGGCUCGUAGGCGGCCAACUAAGUCGGAUGUGAAAUCCCCAGGCUUAACCUGGGAACUGCAUCCGAUACUGGAUGGCUUGAAUCCGGGAGAGGGAUGCAGAAUUCCAGGUGUAGCGGUGAAAUGCGUAGAUAUCUGGAGGAAUACCGGUGGCGAAGGCGGCUACCUGGCCCACUCUUGACGCUGAGGCGCGAAAGCUAGGGGAGCAAACGGG
This 253-nucleotide ribosomal RNA is filed under the name uncultured bacterium. RNAcentral describes it as "partial 16S ribosomal RNA". It matches the Rfam family "Bacterial small subunit ribosomal RNA", at positions 524 to 776 of the family's 1533-position model. The record is from RNAcentral.